GGUCAAGCUACAAAGGGCUCAUGGCGGAUACCUUGGCACACAGAGGCGAUGAAGGACGUGGUUACCUGCGAUAUGUCUCGGGGAGCUGGAUACACGCUUUGAUCCGGGAAUUUCCGAAUGGGGCAACCCUUAAAACGGCCAGCUGAAUACAUA
This 153-nucleotide ribosomal RNA is filed under the name uncultured cyanobacterium. Its description in RNAcentral is "partial 23S ribosomal RNA". It matches the Rfam family "Bacterial large subunit ribosomal RNA", at positions 1 to 168 of the family's 2925-position model. The record is from RNAcentral. Lineage: Bacteria; Bacillati; Cyanobacteriota.